RNAcentral lists this long non-coding RNA (2190 nucleotides) under Papio anubis (olive baboon). RNAcentral describes it as "lncRNA (ENSPANG00000047785.1)". The record is from RNAcentral. Lineage: Eukaryota; Metazoa; Chordata; Mammalia; Primates; Cercopithecidae.
AUUCUUGACCUGUGGUCACAGAUGGGGAAACUGAGGCCUGGGGACAGUCUUUGAAUUUUCAAAUUGAUAUCCAGUAAAGAAUCCGAAUUGAUAAAUCCAGUCCUCAGCUCUUGGAAAGCACCCCGUUAACAACAAAAAAAAGUUGUAUCUUUUCUUUUCGUUCAAUUGACAGAUCAUUAUUGAGCUUAUGGAAUGUGGAAGACAAAAUGCUUUGUUCUGCAGCGGGGAGAGAAUGAAAUAUCGUCCCUGCCCUAAGAGAAUAUGUCUUCUGGGAGGGGCACCGUGACAAGCAAGGACGUAGAUACCAGAAAGUGCAUGGUUACAGCAAUGUGGUGGCUUGAUCUGAGGUUAUGGGAGGGAAGUCUGACAAGGGAACAAGGACACGUCAUGCCUGGCUGGAGUAAGGAGCAGAGAUUUUAUGGAAGAAGCAGUAGCAUUUGCCUAGGAGUUGAAGGAUUUCUAAGAGCUAUGGGUGGCCUCAAGAACACCUGUGGAGAAAUGGAAUGAGCAAUUUUGGGCUUUCUUCUUGGCUGGUUGGAGUCUUCAAAGGAACCCUGGGCUGAGAGUUCUGGGUCCAGUGCUAGCUGUCACUAUGACUGUGGGUGUGACCCUGAGCAGGUCACAUUAUGCCUCCCAUCUCACCAGUCAGGAUAAUAAUCCUGUCUAUCCUUUCCCAGGCAUGUAGUGAGGGAAAAAUGAGGUCACCGAUGAAAUAAUGCUCUGGGAAGUAAAAAGCAUUAAAUGAGGACAAAGUGUUGUCUUAAUGAUAUGACAACUGGGCUAUGAAGGGAAACAUAUAAAUGCCAGGUAUUUAUUAUCUCAACCAGCAUUUGGAUUAGUGUUAUUCUUUGUACCAACUGUAAGCCUGAUUGUCAGUGUUGGAAAAGUCUCACCACCCCAGUUUAUGAGACCUCCAGGGGUUAAGAACUGCAAGGAUCCAACUUACAAAGUUAAAAGGAAGAGUCCACACAAGACCACACUCAUUUCUUUGUGUGUGUGUGUGUGUGUGUGUGUGUGUGUGUGAGAUAGGGUCUCUCUCUGUCAAAGACUGGAGUGCAGUGUGUGAUUGUGGCUCACUGAAGCCUUGAACUCUUGGACUCAAGCCAUUCUCCCACUUCAGCCUCUCGCGUAGCUGGUACCACAGGUUCAUGCCACCACAUCUGCUAAUUUUUUGAUUUUUUGUAGAGAUGGGAUCUCACUAUAUUGUUCAGGCUGGUCUUGAGCUCCUGGGCUCAAACAAUCUUCCCAUCUCAGCUUCCCAAAGUGUUGGGAUGACAGGCAUAAGCCACUGUGCCUCAGGCCACUCUCACUUCUGACAUCAACUUCAAGUUCAGGGGUUUGCCAAAACCAUCCUUGGUUUGAUUUACUAGAAACACUCAUAGCACUCACAUAAAUGCUGUUAUACCCCUGGUUGCAGUUUAUUACAUGGAAUGGGCACAGGUUAAAGCCAACCAAAGGAAUACAAGCAUAGGGCAGGCUCUAGGAGGGAUCCAAAUGCAAAACUGUCUUGUCUUCAGGAUAUUCUCCUAGUAUCCAUGUGGCAAUUCACACAGAGUAUUGACAACUUGGGAAGAUGACUCCUGCCUCAGUGUCCAGAGUAUUUAUUAAGGUUUCACGAUACAAGUGUGAAUGAUUAUUUGCCCUUGUGUUUGAACUAAAUCUCCAGCCCUCCUUCCCCAGAUGUCCGGCUGAUAUCAUGUGGCCUGAGGAACACGUGAGUCACUUCAUUGGCAGAAAGUAUCAGGUGUGAUCCAAGGGGCCCCCUUGAAUAGCAAAGAUACUCCUUUCACUUGGGAAAUUCCAAGAAUUUAUGGGUUACUUUCUAGGAGCUAGGAACAUAGCCAGAUCUCUCAUUGGGGAAAUCCAAAUUCUUUCUUACACACCUCUACUCCCUCUAAGUUAUCUUUCCAGACAUAGCUCCAGUUCUUCCUUCCAGGGCUUUAUUAGCCUCUCUUUUCUCUAAUCUUCCAUGGCACUGAUUGUUUCUAAUACAUAGAGAGGAAUGGUUGUUAGAGCUCUAGACUUUGGGCAGAUACUUGAAUUCAAGUUCAAACUAUGUUACUUCCCAGGCUGUGUGACCUUGGGCAAAUUACUUAACCUUUCAGAGUCUCCAUAAAUGUUAAUUAUUAUUUUUAUUUUUCUAAUUAAUCACAUGCUAUUUACAACUUACAUGGUAUUUGUAGGAUGGAU